UACGUAGGGCGCAAGCGUUAUCCGGAAUUCUUGGGCGUAACGAGCUCGUAGGCGGUUUGUCGCGUCUGCCGUGAAAGUCCGGGGCUCAACCCCGGAUCUGCGGUGGGUACGGGCAGACUAGAGUGAUGUAGGGGAGACUGGAAUUCCUGGUGUAGCGGUGAAAUGCGCAGAUAUCAGGAGGAACACCGAUGGCGAAGGCAGGUCUCUGGGCAUUAACUGACGCUGAGGAGCGAAAGCAUGGGGAGCGAACAGG
This 253-nucleotide ribosomal RNA is filed under the name uncultured bacterium. Its description in RNAcentral is "partial 16S ribosomal RNA". It matches the Rfam family "Bacterial small subunit ribosomal RNA", at positions 524 to 776 of the family's 1533-position model. The record is from RNAcentral.